GUUGUUUUUUUAAAUAAUCUUAUUAGUUUAGAAACAUAUUCAUUGUUUUUCUUCCCAAGUACGUUUAUCUCGUUCAAUGGAUGUUGUAAAACAAACAAAAAUAUUGACUUUAGUUUAUUUUUUGCAGUAUAACCAGAGCGUUUUCUUUGACGGUGAGAUCGAUUUUUUUCCCCCCGUUAGGUGCAGAUCAGUGGAGAAUUUAAGCUUUAGAGUUUUAAACCAGCUCUUUGGAUCUCUUCAGUACUCUUGUUCAUUUUGCACAACUAUGUCUGGUUUCCACUCAGGGUAUCUGUUUCUGUUCAGGGUUUCUUUUCACCAGUCUCAUUUUUUCCGCCUCCUUUUCUUUUUUUUAGUCAGGUGUGUGUGUAUAUCUACUUGUGCAUUACUGUCCUUUUCUUAGAGAAAAGUGUCAUGUUUUGUGUGUGCGUUUGUGUUUUAGUGGCACACUCUUAAAUCCCAUACUGAGUACAAAGUGCAGCUUGAGAAGGCUGAGAAAACAGUUUUGGUAUUUUGAUCUAGUUUUCUAAAUCCCAAGAUCCAUUUCAGUGUUUUAAAUGAAGAAAGAGAAUUGCACAGAUUAGCAUAUGAAAAGAAACAGAAAGAAAUGAUGGAACAAUUUAGAUCAGAGCUAUUAAAAGUCGAAAUAUAGAGCAAGAGAGCACCACAUGCUGUUUACAAUAGAAUAUUCACACUAGAUUGUCUUCAUUCAGUCGAUAUCAGAAACUGUAAAACCGUUAUUGCUGUAGUGUCUUAUUUUGUCAUCAUACUGUUGUUAUUCAUUUCAUAUUUCAUCAUUAUGCUGUUCAUCAUUUUGACAUACUUGUGCAGCUAUGAGUAUAUGGAAGAUUUUCAGAGGAGGGAUUGUAUUGGUUUGGUUUGUGAGGGACAAACAAUAAUAUCUCUAAAAACCAUGAUGGUCAGUGUUAUUUAUAUAUUAUUGCACAUUUAAAAUGUCAAGUGUCAUGGUCCUCUUAUGUGUGUUCUGUUAUUGACAGGUUUCCAUAUAUUAAUUAUUAUCUUGCACUAUAUUCUUAUUCAGCUAAAGCAGAGCCUGUCUUCACAGUCAUUUAUUGAAAUUGGUGAAUAUAUUUUCAAAUUGGCUAAUCACAGAUUUGCUUCAUUUGUUUUGGGUACCAUAUAUAUUGGGAAUGUACAGUAUAUCAUAAGAAGAUACUACAGUAUCAAAGAAAAAAUGAUCACACAUGAAAAUGUACAGUACAGCACAUACUCUUUCCACUAUUAAAUCGAAUCUUAUGAGAAAAUGUAAACUGUUUGUAAAAAUGAUCCUAAUUAAUUCCAUUGUAAAAUAAUUCCUUUGUUUUUAAUUGUAAUUACAUCUGGCAACACACACCCACACACGUACAGUAUUUAUGAUUGGAAUAUUUAUAUAUUCAUGAGGCUGAGUUUCAUCUAAUUGUAAGACAUUAUCACUGAAUACACUACAGUUAUGUAUUUUUUAUAUAUAUAUAUUUGUCAUCUUUUUUAUAUUAAUACUGGAACCUGUGUUAGUGAAAUAAGUGAGUGAUCUCAGGAGGAAUCUCUCUUAAAUGUUAUGCAUAUUGUUGCAUACUGUUAUGUAUAUGUUGUAGUUUGAUCAUGGAUGCAUCUCUCACUUGUGCAGAGCUUGCUACACCUGAAUGAUGAUGGGAG
Molecule: long non-coding RNA, 1650 nt
Organism: Cyprinus carpio carpio
Lineage: Eukaryota; Metazoa; Chordata; Actinopteri; Cypriniformes; Cyprinidae
Source: Ensembl